This 907-nucleotide long non-coding RNA is filed under the name Homo sapiens (human). Lineage: Eukaryota; Metazoa; Chordata; Mammalia; Primates; Hominidae. The record is from RNAcentral.
AUUUAUGCAGCCAACAGACACAUGAAAAAAUGCUCAUCAUCACUGGCCAUCAGAGAAAUGCAAAUCAAAACCACAAUGAGAUACCAUCUCAUACCAGCUGGAAUGGCGAUCAUUAAAAAGUCAGGAAACAACAGGUGCUGGAGAGGAUGUGGAGAAAUAGGAACACUUUUACACUGUUGGUGGGACUAUAAACUGGUUCAACCAUUGUGGAAGACAGUGUGGUGAUUCCUCAAGGAUCUACAACUAGAAAUACCAUUUGACCCAGCCAUACCAUUACUGGGUAUAUACCCAAAGGAUUAUGAAUCAUGCUGCUAUAAAGACACAUGCACACAUAUGUUUAUUGCGGCACUAUUCACAAUAGCAAAGACUUGGAACCAACCCAAAUGUCCAUCAAUGAUAGACUGGAUUAAGAAAAUGUGGCACAUAUACAGCAUGGAAUACUAUGCAGCCAUAAAAAAGGAUGAGUUCAUGUCCUUUGUAGGGACAUGGAUGAAGCUGGAAACCAUCAUUCUCAGCAAACUAUUGCCAGGACAGAAAACCAAACACCGCAUGUUCUCACUCAUAGAUGGGAAUUGAACAAUGAGAACACUUGGGUCUAUGGCCAUACUACCCUGAAUGCGCCCGAUCUCUUCUGAUCUCAGAAGCUAAGCAGGGUCAGGCCUGGUUAGUACUUGGAUGGGAGAACACUUGGACACAGGAAGGGGAACAUCACACACUGGGGCCUGUCGUGGGGUGGGGGGAGGGGGGAGGGAUAGCAUUAGGAGAUAUACCUAAUGUAAAUGAUGAGUUAAUGGGUGCAGCACACCAACAUGGCACAUGUAUACAUAUGUAACAAACCUGCACGUUGUGCACAUGUACUCUAGAACUUAAAGUAUAAUAAAAAAAAAAAAAAGGAAAAUUCCCACUA